RNAcentral lists this ribosomal RNA (481 nucleotides) under uncultured bacterium. RNAcentral's name for it is "bacterial SSU rRNA". It matches the Rfam family "Bacterial small subunit ribosomal RNA", at positions 501 to 981 of the family's 1533-position model. The record is from RNAcentral.
CUACGUGCCAGCAGCCGCGGUAAUACGUAGGGAGCGAGCGUUAUCCGGAUUUAUUGGGUGUAAAGGGUGCGUAGACGGAAAUGCAAGUUAGUUGUGAAAUACCUCGGCUUAACUGAGGAACUGCAACUAAAACUAUAUUUCUUGAGUAUCGGAGGGGUUUGUGGAAUUCCUAGUGUAGCGGUGAAAUGCGUAGAUAUUAGGAAGAACACCGGUGGCGAAGGCGACAAACUGGACGAUAACUGACGUUGAGGCACGAAAGUGUGGGGAGCAAACAGGAUUAGAUACCCUGGUAGUCCACACCGUAAACGAUGGAUACUAGGUGUUGGCAAUGAAUAAUUGUCGGUGCCGGCGCUAACGCAAUAAGUAUCCCACCUGGGGAGUACGACCGCAAGGUUGAAACUCAAAGGAAUUGACGGGGGCCCGCACAAGCAGUGGAGUAUGUGGUUUAAUUCGAUGCUACGCGAAGAACCUUACCAAGGCU